GUGAGCCACAGCUGAUAGCUGGGCGCGAUCUGCCUGGAUUGUUACUGAAAUACUAACAUGCUCUUUAUGGGUUAGUAACUCCCUUCACCUCCCCAACGGCUCCUACCCGCUGGGACCUUCACCUCCCCAUGAUCCAACAGUGAAAGAUUUAAUACCCACAUGACAAGGGCCUUCCAGACAUGGUCCAGCUGGGGUCUGAUGCUGAUUUGGAUAGAUCCAUGGCAAACUGAUGAAGAAAUUUUGGUCAGAGAGAUGAAGUAGCUCUGCCAGUACACAGCAUGGAAUUGAAAGCAAUGGGCCUGGCACUGACUGAGAGGUACUCACAGCUUGGGGCAGACUCCCAUUUGGAGAUGGGAUCCUGAAGAAGCCUGGAUGUUUGUGAUGGCGGUCAACAGAGCUUCCAGAAUGGGGACCUAGAUGCAGUCGUCUUCAAGUUCCAUAGGAGGGCUGUGGCUGACCUUGUCUCGUCUGAUAAACCACUGAAGAAGAAUGCUGUGUAUCUAUCUAGUGGGGCCUUCUAGGGAACUACGGGGGGCAAGGGCAAGUUCAUUGGCCUGUCAUUACUGUUUCCUAAUCUAGGGAGCCUCUCAGAAAAGACUCCCCUGAAGCGAUUGGUCUUCUCUGGCUCGGGCCAGGGGCUGAGGAGUGACGCUGGGUGGAGGCAACACCCAGGGAGAUAGGAAGCCUGUUCUGUGGGGCUUAUCUCAGGACUGUGAGGCAACUGAAGACAGAAGCCAUGAGAGGAGAAGUUUGGUAAUCUCAUCUGCAAUUGUUGUUUUUGUACUUAUCUAAGGAUGGGGGUGGGGAUGGAAGGGUGGGAAUGGGUUUGAGUUGCAGCCAAAGGAAUUUAGAUUAGACACCUGAAAGAACUUUCCAACAUACAACGCUGUAAGGCCAAAAGGAGAUAGUACAGUUGCCUUUUAUCUGGAUCCAUAGUAUAAUACUUAAGUUUAGGUGUUCAAUAAGUACUGAACACACAAGACUGGGAGUCUGGAGAGUUGGGCCAAAAGCUCUUAUUUGUCCUUCAUUCCCACUGGGGACAUUUCUCCUCUUUAUUUCACUCUCUGAGCCUCUGUGUCCUUGUCAGCCUUGUAGGGCUGCGAUGAGAAUUAAAUGAGACAAUAUGUGAAUGUGACCAGUCCAGUCAAUGCCUAGCACAUAGUACAUGCUUAAGAAAUACCUAUGUCAUCUGGAUUCUGGAAAUCCUGUACACCAUGGUAGUCCAAUAAAAAUAUACCCAAUGAAUCAUUAACAUGAUUUAAUUUAUAAGGGGCACAAAAGGUUCAUUAAUGUUAGUUAACAGUAGGUUUUGGAGUCAGAUAGACCUGGGCCUUAUUUACAGCUGCAUUUGGGGUUGGGAGUGGAAUAGAGAGGAAGAAGAGGAAAUGGAUGGGAAGAGUUGAUGAAAAGUCAGGAGAACCCAGCCCACUGAUAGGAGAGGUUUGGGAGAAAGAAAUAGCUACAGAAGGGUAUGUGUUCAAAUUUUGCUCUUUGCAAAGAACAUGCUGGUUACUAAGAGAGAUCAGAGCAGGUACAAGGAGUUCAGUGUGGAGACUCUGGCAGUGGUCCAGGUGUGAUGUCUAAAGCAAGGGACUGUGGUCAAGGGUGAGCUCAAGGUGAGUGGGUCUUAGCUGCCUUAGCUCCUUGUGGAGGGCAAGUGAAGAAGGUAUUGGCAAGAACAUUAGAAAUUGUUCUAGGUGCUCUCCUACAAUGUUAUGACCAGGAUGCACUCUGCACUCCUUUUGAUGAGGAGUUUGGUAUCACAUCCAAGGCCUUACCUGUCUCCGUUCUCUUUGAUCUAGUAAUUUCACUGGAAGCCAGUUCAAGGAGAUUAUCUAAACUGUGGAGAAAGGUUUUUUGUCAGUCAAGGGCUCUUUAUUAAGCACUUACUAUGUGCCAGGCUCUGAGGGUACAUCGGGGAGUGUUAGAGAAACACAAGUGGGAGAGAUUUUGAAGGGCUGCUGAGAUCAUUCAUGUAGUCAGGCAAUCAAAAAAUAUUUACUGAGCACCUGUUAUGUGUCUGCCAUCAUUCAAGGCUCUGGGUUUUCAACAAGGACCAAGACAGAUGAGGAUUUCAGAACCGUGGACAAGUGAGGGUUAGCAGGUCAGCAAAGUCAGAAUGUUUAUGCCAAUGCAGCAGGCUUCUCUGAUCCCCCAAAUUACGCUCGGUCCUUCUCAUAUAUGCUCUUUCCCACCCCCAUAUUCACACAGAUGAGGACCUCAACUUCUUUUCUCGAUUUCCAUUAAAAGCCUUUACUCAAGGUUAUUGUAUGCGUAGCAAAUUUUAUGAAAGGUUUAUGGAUAUGGAGGGAGUUACAUGAUGAGAAUGCAAAUACAUUGAUUUUGAGUUGGUUAAAUGUCAUUGUUUUCAAGAUUCUCCAACUGCCCAACAAGUAGCUUGGCUGCCAUCUUCCCCUGACUUUCUGCAUCUCUGCUUCCUUCCCAAACCGUCUUCCUCAGUGGCAGUGGGGUUCCAGUCAUUUGCAGUUGUAAAUAGUAUUUCCCCCUUGGUCACACUUUAAUCACUUGUCCGAAGUCUAUUAUUUCAGCUACAUUGUAAGCUCCUUGAAGCACCUAGAUCAGGGCCUCGCUCAUAAUAGGCAUUUCAAAAAUAGUUAUUCAGUGAAUAAAUGAACAGAUGAAUGAGACAUCCUUCAGAUCCCUAUAAGAAAAUUGUACUACCUGCAUCUUUGCAAGAAAAAAAGUGAGUUAAUUUUUUUCAGUAUGAUGACACAUUGGAUUCUGAAUUACAGAAUUAAAUCUAAAUAUCUGAAUU
Molecule: long non-coding RNA, 2776 nt
Filed under: Homo sapiens (human)
Lineage: Eukaryota; Metazoa; Chordata; Mammalia; Primates; Hominidae
Description: TRIB1 associated lncRNA (TRIB1AL)
Source: RNAcentral